RNAcentral lists this ribosomal RNA (577 nucleotides) under Trichoderma asperellum. RNAcentral describes it as "eukaryotic LSU rRNA". The stretch from base 217 to 370 matches the Rfam family "5.8S ribosomal RNA". The record is from RNAcentral. Lineage: Eukaryota; Fungi; Ascomycota; Sordariomycetes; Hypocreales; Hypocreaceae. RNAcentral also lists the same sequence under 1 other name.
AUUUUCGUCCAGGGGUGGUCGGAGGGAUCAUUACCGAGUUUACAACUCCCAAACCCAAUGUGAACGUUACCAAACUGUUGCCUCGGCGGGGUCACGCCCCGGGUGCGUCGCAGCCCCGGAACCAGGCGCCCGCCGGAGGAACCAACCAAACUCUUUCUGUAGUCCCCUCGCGGACGUAUUUCUUACAGCUCUGAGCAAAAAUUCAAAAUGAAUCAAAACUUUCAACAACGGAUCUCUUGGUUCUGGCAUCGAUGAAGAACGCAGCGAAAUGCGAUAAGUAAUGUGAAUUGCAGAAUUCAGUGAAUCAUCGAAUCUUUGAACGCACAUUGCGCCCGCCAGUAUUCUGGCGGGCAUGCCUGUCCGAGCGUCAUUUCAACCCUCGAACCCCUCCGGGGGAUCGGCGUUGGGGAUCGGGACCCCUCACACGGGUGCCGGCCCCGAAAUACAGUGGCGGUCUCGCCGCAGCCUCUCCUGCGCAGUAGUUUGCACAACUCGCACCGGGAGCGCGGCGCGUCCACGUCCGUAAAACACCCAACUUUCUGAAAUGUUGACCUCGGAUCAGGUAGGAAUGCCCAAG